This 375-nucleotide ribosomal RNA is filed under the name Triticum aestivum (bread wheat). Its description in RNAcentral is "partial small subunit ribosomal RNA". The record is from RNAcentral. Lineage: Eukaryota; Viridiplantae; Streptophyta; Magnoliopsida; Poales; Poaceae.
AUUAUAGAUGAACUUCUUCAUGAGUUGCAUGGUGCACAGUGGUUUACAAAGUUAGAUCUCAGGGCUGGUUACCACCAAAUAAGACUAGCUCCUGGAGAAGAAUACAAGACAACUUUUCAAACCCAUCAUGGGCAUUUUGAGUUUCUGGUUGUGGGUUUUAGCCUGACAGGAGCACCUGAUACUUUCCAAGCGGCCAUAAAUGUAUCAUUAUCAGAUGAACCUGAAAUGCUUAGACAUUUUGUGAUAGCCUUCUUUGAUGACAUCCUUGUUUUCAGUAAGACAUUGAAACAACAUUUGGAGCAUGUCAGAAGAGUGUUGCGAGUUUUGAGAAGGGACAAAUGGUAUGUGAAGCUUUCCAAGUGUGAGUUUCCUUCU